GGGCCGGCUGGAAAAGUUUGAAAGUUGGAACCGGCCUGGGCCUAAAAAUGGGAAAUUUUUCCUGCAUUUCUCACGUUCAGCCUACUUAUUUUGCUCCGUUCCCUCCUGUUGCCAAGUCUCCUUUGGUCUUCUUUGUCUUGCUCAAGAGCCUUGUACUGAGGUGGAACUUUGCAAGUGUCUUAACAAGAUCUAAUAAGCUUGGAAACUGAAAGGGGAAAUGAGGAUAUUCCCUUCUGGCUGUAAUCAUGGUGUGAGGGAGGUGGAGACUCUACAAAGGAAGGCUCCUCAGCCUGGAGGUUUGCAGGUUUCUCCCUCAAAAGAUCCUGCUCCAUAGUACUGAGAAAACACAGUGGCCGUUGUGUGGGAGACCACCACAGCUGCCUCAAGGGAAGCCAACACAGUCAUGGUUCCUGAGCUCAUUGGGAUCGGAUGUUUACAGAAGUCUCCCACAGAAGAUGAACUUACCACCGACUUGUUUAUUUUGUAACUGGAAGCCUGUACCUCUUGACUCCCUUCACCCAUUUCAACCACCCCUUGCUGGAAGAGAUUCCUUUUGAAAGCCCACAAAAGUGCUGGAGGGCCCCAAGUUUCCAUAAAGCCAUGGUUCCAGGCAGAAAGUGGCAGCAUCUGUGUUCAGCAUCUUUUCAAGAACAGAAGACCUUGACCUAAUCUCUGGGCUCUCCAUUCACAUGGCUUCAGGGCCAUCCAGGGAGAAGCAGAGUUCAUGCUUCUCAUUCUAUAGUGGUGGCUGCUCGGGUGUUACUUCUGGCUUCCUGACCUAGAUCCUAACUAGGUUGGGGUUUCUGUCUCUCCCUGUUCUGAGGUCCUGUUCUGCUUAUUUUCUUACACCAACUAUGCCCACUUAGUUAUCUAUCAUUGCUCUUGGUUUUGAUCAGGGCUUGAGGGCGAGGCAUAACAAAUGCAGCAAAGCAUGAAGACACCGUGUCAUCCUGACCAGAGGUUCUAGUUUAAAACUUUUCAUGGCCUUGAGCUCUAAAAAGAUUAUAGAGCCUUUCUGCCCACAUGAAUUUGAAAUGAAAACACCAAGCUAUAAAAUAGUUGCUAAACCAUCCAACAUUGUUCUGACUUUCUUAAAGAAGACUACUUUGAUUUUUCAAAAUAUCAACUCUCAAAUUAUAUCCAUUUUCCUUGCUGCCUCUGCUUUGAUAGUUUCCCAGCCAUUUAUAUAGUGUGCCCACCAGGUAACCCAGCACCUCACUACCAUGAAUGGGUAAGUACAUGUAGACCUGUUUAAUAACCUAGUCUUAUAAGUGGCGAGUGAUCAAUUUGAGCAAUAGUGACUUUGGCCAGGAGAACAAUAAAUAGUGUUAAUUUCGGGAUUGUACCUUGUAGGGACUGUCACCUAAAGUCACCUACAAUCAAUUGCAUGAUUAAAAAUUGUACACAGUGUCUUAACUUUGCCAAAUCAGCCUACUUUGGUCAGCUGUGAAUUUGGUGGGGGAAAAAACCCCCUAAACUCCACUGUAUUUUGCUUUUUAGGCCCGCACCCAUGGCAUAUUGAGGUUCCCAGGCUAGGGGCCAAAUCGGAGCUGCAGCUACCAGCCUACACCAGAGCCACAGCAACUCAGGAUCUGAGCUGCAUCUUUGACCUACACCACAGCUCACAGCAACGCCAGAUCCUUAACCCACCCAAGGCCAGAGAUCAAACCUGCAAACUUAUGAUUCCUAGUCAGAUUCGUUUCUGCUGCGCCAUGACAGGAACUCCUAAACUCCACUGUUUUUAAUAGAGCCUGUUUAGACAAAAUCGUGACGUUAGUGAAGUUGCUUUAUGGUGCUUUUCCUUUUUCCUUCUGGGGAUGCACCUACAAUUCCUAUUUCUUGCCCCAGGUAUCUCUCUCAUGUCUCACUGUUGUAGAGCUUUGGAAAGAAACUGAGAAACAGAGUAGGGAAAAGGCACUAUGUAGGGAAUAAAAUCAAUGAAUUUUAGUUUAAGUUCAGCCAACAGUUGACUUCAUGACCUUGGAUAAUAUCUUUGAAUCUCAAUUUAUUCAUUAUAAAUUUGGAGAAAAAGUAGUAAUUGUAUUACUAAGCUCUUUUUCUUUCCUGCCUACAGAUUUCAACUAUUUUAGAAAACCUCAUUCCCGAUAACACAUUAGCUGAUGUAGUGUCAUUUUUCUCUGAGAUGUAAUAGGGAAAUCUUGGAAACCAAAAAUUUUUAGAUCUUUACUGGGUUUUUUUUGUUUUUUGUUUUUUGUUUGUUUGUUUGUUUUUGCUAUGUAGGGCCACACCUGUGGAAUAUGGAAGGUCCCAGGCUAGGGUUCGAAUCUGAGCUGCAGCUGCCGGCUUAUACCACAGCCACAGCAAUGCAGGAUUUGAGCCAAGUCUACAACCUACACCACAGCUCAUAGCAAUGCCAGAUCCUUAACCCACUAAGCAAGGUCAGGGAUCAAACCCUCAUCCUCAUGGAUGCUAGUCAGUCUAUUUCUGCUAAACCACAAUGGGAACUCCUUGGUCCUUACAUUUUUAACAAGAUUAUUUCAGGUGCCAUAGCAGGUUGAUGGAGAAAUAUUUUUCUGUGGAAAUCUUUCAGGAGACUUUACAUCACACAAAAAAGUUGACUUAUCUGUAAAUCUGCAUUGGGGAAAGGAGAGGAAUCACGAUUUUUAUUUGCUAGUUUAAUCACUUUCACCAGUUUGAAAUUUGACUCUUUACCAAGCACUAAUGUGAGAGUCCUGGGAUCCUUUUCUCUUCUAAUUAAGCACAUUUUGUGUAGCUCCUUAUUUUUCCCCCCAUUUUUCUCUGGUGUUUGUUUAUGACUUUCAUGAUAUACAUUGCUUGUGGUAAAAUUUAUGUUGCUAAAUAAUACUGUUGUAAAUUAGACCACUAUUCCCUGGUCUUGUUUAGAUCUCAUCAGUGGAGCUCUGUUCACUCAGAUAUUUUCAGUCACAGAUAAAUUGCUCUGUCCCAUUUGCAUUUCAGUAAUUUUCUGAUUUAGACAUGGAGUUGGUAAUGGGCAUAAUUCAGGAGGGGUGACUUGAGGGGAGGGAAUCUCCUGAGAGCCUGGCAUCCUUAGCAAGAUCCCCAAAUAGUCACUAUUUUCCACUAUGGAGUAUCUUCUUGUAUGAGAAUAAAUAAAAGUUAAUUGUCUUUAUAAAGCAGUGUUGGAAAUGGUGUCAGCUAUUUUCCUCUCUUUGUAUAUCCUGCUGCCAAUUUGGAUUCAAAUUGGUUUGGUAAGGAGUUUUGCCCCAGGGGUCCAUUUUAAUAGCUGCAUUUCUGAUUUGUCAUAAUUUACUGGAGUACAUGGACUAUUAAAACCAUGAUU
This 3283-nucleotide long non-coding RNA is filed under the name Sus scrofa (pig). Its description in RNAcentral is "lncRNA (ENSSSCG00040044084.1)". The record is from RNAcentral. Lineage: Eukaryota; Metazoa; Chordata; Mammalia; Artiodactyla; Suidae.